Clupea harengus (Atlantic herring) is the source of this 822-nucleotide long non-coding RNA. Lineage: Eukaryota; Metazoa; Chordata; Actinopteri; Clupeiformes; Clupeidae. The record is from Ensembl.
GCAAUGACAGACAAACAGGAAGACAUUUACCGCACACCAACAGAAAACUGGAAGUCAGUCUGAGCCUGCGAGAGAACAGAUCAAGAUGAAGACCCUUCGCAUUCUCACUCACUGUCUGAUCACAGCUGUGGUGAGCAGUCUCGACGAGAGAGGCUACCUGGGAGGAAGUAUGCAGUUCAAGUGUAAAUUUGGAAGCUUUUACGCAAGGCACGAGAAGUAUCUUUGUAAGGGUCAAAGUCCCGGCUGUGUGGAUCUGAUACGGACAAGCGAUCAAAAGCGCUGGGUCGACAACGGCAGGUUCUCCCUUUACGAUGGCGGUGAGGGUUAUUUCAACGUUAGCCUGGCUAAGCUCACCCUGCAAGACACAGGGAAGUAUCAAUGUGCUGUGAAUCUUCCAGUGGCAAUUGAUACGUAUGAUGAGAUAAACUUGGUGGUGACAGAUGACCUGGCCAGAGUCAUACGGGAGAAGUGCGAGGAGUCAGACGUGGUGUGCACACUGAAAUUUCUUGAUGAACUGGACGCGUCAGCCAUUUUGCCACUGAAGGUGGUGUCCGAUCUCCUAGAUGGUUUACUGGAGGCCCCCCCAGACAGUCUGGUCUCGAGAGGAGAGGCUGUGCUCCAGGCCACUGAGCAGCUGGUGUCCAGACUGGUGAAGCCCACUCACACUCAGUCCAGCAGAAACUUCAGUACUAACACCACAGAGGUGGAGAUCCUGAAUAUUGGGCCAAACACCUCCCUGACUAGUGUCCCUCAGCUGGUAAUCUCCAACGUCCAUCUGGACAUCGACCUCCUGGGAAUCGCUCGGAACAACAACGGUAUGCC